Long non-coding RNA from Ictalurus punctatus (channel catfish), 973 nucleotides. The record is from Ensembl. NCBI's taxonomy places the organism in Eukaryota, Metazoa, Chordata, Actinopteri, Siluriformes, Ictaluridae.
GCCUGGUUAGUACUUGGUUGGGAGACUGAAUGGGAAUACUAGGUGCUGUAAGCUUUUUAUUUGGAUCAGUGUUUUCAUGGCCUCUGCACAACAUCCUGUUUUGGGAUAAAGGUUGGACACAGGUUUGAAGGGGACCCAAUCAAUCAAUCAAUCAGUCAGUCAGUCAGUCAGUCAGUCAGUCUUUUGAUUACACUAUUUAAAUAGCCCCCAUUUGGGGUCAGCUUUCGCUUACGGCCAUACCACUCUGAAAAAGCCUGAUCUCAUCUGACCUCGGAAGCAAAGCAGAGUUGGGCCUGGUUAGUACUUGGUUGGGAGACUGAAUGGGAAUACUAGGUGCUGUAAGCUUUUUAUUUGGAUCAGUGUUUUCAUGGCCUCUGCACAACAUCCUGUUUUGGGAUAAAGGUUGGACACAGGUUUGAAGGGGACCCAAUCAAUCAAUCAUCAAUCAAUCAGUCAGUCAGUCAGUCAGUCAGUCAGUCAGUCUUUUGAUUACACUAUUUAAAUAGCCCCCAUUUGGGGUCAGCUUUCGCUUACGGCCAUACCACUCUGAAAAAGCCUGAUCUCAUCUGACCUCGGAAGCAAAGCAGAGUUGGGCCUGGUUAGUACUUGGUUGGGAGACUGAAUGGGAAUACUAGGUGCUGUAAGCUUUUUAUUUGGAUCAGUGUUUUCAUGGCCUCUGCACAACAUCCUGUUUUGGGAUAAAGGUUGGACACAGGUUUGAAGGGGACCCAAUCAAUCAAUCAAUCAAUCAGUCAGUCAGUCAGUCAGUCAGUCAGUCUUUUGAUUACACUAUUUAAAUAGCCCCAUUUGGGGUCAGCUUUCGCUUACGGCCAUACCACUCUGAAAAAGCCUGAUCUCAUCUGACCUCGGAAGCAAAGCAGAGUUGGGCCUGGUUAGUACUUGGUUGGGAGACUGAAUGGGAAUACUAGGUGCUGUAAGCUUUUUAUUUGGAUCAGUGUUUCAUGGCCUCUGC